CGCGCCACUGGAAGUAAAGUUGCUCUUCCUCUCUCACCAAUUCGUUUUAUCACGGUUCUGACGUCACUAACCUGCAAUUGUACGAAUGAACUAACGAACAACCGACCAAGCCCCUGCUGGAGUAACCGGGAGGCAGUUAGUGUUGCAGAGAGUCCCCGCCGCCCGCCCCGGAGGAGCCGAACGGAGGAACGCCGAGCAAAGGAGCGCUGCUCACCUCCGCCCAGUAACACUUCCUAUCGACUACUGGAAAGACCCGUUACCGUGAUUUACAGGCAGGACAAAAAACAAGGAGAGAUAGUGGAGGACUGACGGCCAGCCGGACGGACAGACCAUUGAUACAUCGUGUUGUUUCUACCCCUGUGGAUCAAACCGAGUGGAUCCUUACAUUUAAAUGCUGUAACGGUACCGAGUCCCCGGCUUGAGAGCGAGAGAGAGGGAGCAGCCCAGAGAGCGACAAGACAAGAGGGAUACCACAGAGGGAUCGAAAGCAAAGCACAGGGGGGAAAACAGAGGAGGAAAUCGACCAAGAAAGAAGAAGAAGAGGAUUUGCAAGCAGCUUUGUUUGCAAAGCACACGAUUCUUUGAAAAUCAGCGUCUAUUGCCUUUUCUGCCGUGGAUCCCCGUCUCGGUAACGCUAUCAAGCUGUGCUCUCUAACCAUGGGAUGUACUCUGAGUGCAGAGGAGAGGGCGGCUCUGGACCGGAGCAAAGCCAUCGAGAAGAACCUCAAGGAGGACGGUCUCACUGCGGCCAAAGAUGUGAAGCUGCUGCUUCUCGGGGCUGGAGAGUCAGGGAAAAGCACCAUCGUCAAACAGAUGAAGAUCAUCCAUGAGGACGGCUUCUCUGGCGACGAUGUAAAGCAGUACAAGCCUGUGGUUUACAGCAACACCAUCCAGUCUCUGGCUGCCAUCGUGCGCGCCAUGGACACACUCGGCCUGGAGUAUGGAGACAAAGAACGGAAGGCGGAUGCUAAGAUGGUGUGCGAUGUGGUCAGUCGUAUGGAGGACACAGAGCCUUACUCCGCCGAGCUGCUCUCCGCCAUGAUACGCCUGUGGUCUGACUCAGGCAUCCAGGAGUGUUUCAGCCGCGCCCGCGAGUACCAGCUCAACGACUCAGCGCAGUACUACCUAGACAGCCUAGAUCGGAUUGGUGCGGCAGACUACCAGCCCACAGAGCAGGACAUCCUGAGGACCCGAGUGAAGACCACAGGCAUCGUCGAGACACACUUCACCUUCAAAAACCUCCACUUCAGGCUGUUUGAUGUGGGAGGUCAGCGGUCGGAGAGGAAGAAGUGGAUCCACUGUUUCGAGGAUGUCACAGCCAUCAUUUUCUGCGUGGCGCUCAGUGGAUACGACCAGGUGCUGCACGAGGACGAGACCACGAACCGCAUGCACGAGUCUCUGAAGCUGUUUGACUCCAUCUGUAACAACAAGUGGUUUAAUGAAACUUCCAUCAUCCUCUUCCUGAACAAGAAGGACCUCUUUGAAAACAAGAUCAUCAAGUCUCCACUGUCCAUCUGCUUCCCCGAGUAUACUGGUCCAGACACUUACCUGGAAGGAAUAGACUACAUUAAGUGUCAGUACGAGAGCAAGAACAAGUCAACCAGCAAAGAGGUCUACUCCCACGUCACCUGCGCUACGGACACCAACAACAUCCAGUUUGUCUUUGACGCCGUCACUGAUGUCAUCAUAGCAAACAACCUGCGGGGGUGUGGCCUGUACUGAUGAGCCUGUUUUAGCCUUAGCCAAUUGAUGAAGGGGGGUUUGUCUUGUAUUUAUGUACAGUAUGUUGUACCUGCUUGUCCAUCACUGGUUAUGUGAUGUCCUUUGAUAAUAGUUCAAUCUGUGCUGUGAACUGUGUCACUGAUGGACUCCACAUCGACAAAUGGAUUGUUAGAGCGCUCGUAUGGUUUGUUGAUUCAUUAGCUCGUUGAAACUUCUUUCAAUGUUUUCUUUUUUGUCUUUUUUUAAUUCCUCCUGAAGGAGAACCAACGGAAAACUUCAAUCACGCUGUACUUCUUGCUUAUGCUUGUAUAUAAACUUCAGAUCUCUUAAAUCUCACACAAUAACUCUCUGUCAGCUCAACCUGGAUUCAUGGGACCUAGUUGGACUUGUUUGUACAUAGAGCCAGAGCCUUACUUAAAGAACUAGACUGGUAGGGUGUCAGAUAACCCAGUGUUUAUGUCGACCACCCUGUGUAUGGACGCUGUAGUCCUCCUCACAGCGACCGUGGGUUUGAAUCUGACCUCUGCCUUUUGCUGCAUGUCAUUCCCCUCUCUCUCUCCUCACAACAUGUUCUGUCUCUCUUCAGCUGUCCUAUCCAAUAAAGGACUUACAACAUGUUGACUGGUGCAAUCCAAGCAGUUGAUUCAGAGCGCUCAAAUGUAAUACAACAGAUACAAUCUCUUUACCCAACAUUGCCUUAGACUUUUGCCUUACUUAGGACUGAUGAGAGACUGAAUAUUAAUAUAAACGCUCUAUUCCAUCACAAUGGUGUCUUUCAGAGCACUGAGGACGUCUGUUUGUCUAAGAAGAAAUUAAAACAUGGAUAUAGAUAUAGAUAUAUCAUACAUGGUGUGCUGCAUAGUGUCUGUCUGCAUUGGUGCACUGAGCCAUACUUAGUGACAUUGCUAUGGGAAUGAAUACAGAAAAAAGUUAGUGGACCAUUUAUUGUGACACAACUAAAAUAAUUUAAACUAUUUUCACAAUAAAAUGUCACUGAAAUAAGAGAGAAUUUUUAAAAAGUUUCUUCAAUGUAGAUUCAUUAUGAUACCUUGAAAAUAAUUAUUUAUUGAUGUUGAUGUUAAAAAAUACAUUCAGUUAGAAAAUUGGUUCCCAACCUGGGGUUUGGGCCCCCCUAGAUUAGAUUAGCAGAGAUGAUUAUGUAAAAUGGUGAUAACACACUUACUGAAUAGUUUAUGCAAAGGUCUUUGGGUAAAACAAAGCGACAACCUCCAGUGUUGAAAAAUGAAGCCUAUUUGGAAGAGCAAAAAAACUGCAGAUCAUCGAGGGCCCGCUUGAGGCUGGCUCCAGGAUCCCUGGAAGUCACACACCCCACAUGCGCCUGUCACUGUACAGAGGUGAAUGUUUUUAUAACGCAUCCAUUUUGAGUUUAUAAACGAUCAAGUUACGCAUAGUUAGUCAUGUAGUGAUUGACACUGGAAACAGUGUGGUUCAGUAAGUAACAGCAUCAGUAACUUGAUUAUUAGAAAUCCUGUUGGCCUUGAAUCUGUCUCAUGUGGGAGAAAUUCUGUAUUUUGCCCCAAUGGAAAAUCAGAAGAAUUAUACUUUUGAUCUAGUCUUUUUUUCAUCGACAUUUAAUGAACAGGAUUUAUUUUUUCCAAUGGAAGAAGUUGCUGUCUGUGAUGUUCAUUCUGGCAUCUUCCUUCUUCUCCAUGGGCGCCACCUUCGAUCAUAUUUUAGAAUUGAUUUUCCUUCCUUUUCCGUUGCAGUGUGCUACGGUCCAGUAUAAAGUCACUUUAAAUGAAGAGCUACAAGAGGCAGGGUUCUGACUUCACCACACAGUUCUCCAAUAAUGCUUCAAAGGAAGCAUUGAUUUUUAAAGGGCCCUGGGGCCACAUCCAUUGUGUUGGGCUGCACGGUGUGAAAUCCCCACUGUCCAGCACUCUGCUGUAAUAAGCCAGUGUUGAGGUUUGAAAGCUUGUGUGCUGGUGAGCCGAUGAGCUUCCUCUGGGACCAGAAUGUCAACCUUGUGAUGAUUGCUGUAGCCCUGAUGUGUUGCUUUGUGAUGAGCCUGUUCUCUUCUUGCUGGAGGGCGGUCGUUCAGAGCUGCUCAGGGAUGAGCUCUGAUGUAUUGUGAAGUGUACAGUUUGGGUAAACACUUGAAAUCUUUACAUUUGAGAGAACCAAAGACGUGCAUAUAUAACUAGACAAAAAUGUUCAGCUUUAGACUUCUCAGUUUACAGCAUCAUAUAAAGGCUGAGUCCUCGUUGUGUGUAGGGCUGAGCUGAGUGUGUUUACAGCUUUAGUGCUAAGAGAGCUCUCAGCACACAGAGGCAGGGAGCGUCUUUAUUUAUUUAUGAGCAGGGCAUUUUCUUUAUCCAAUCUUCCCCUCGACACUCAGAAGGCGAGGUCGAGCCUGCACCCUCUGCUUAAAUCUGUGACUUUCUGUCAAUAGGAGAACAUAGUGACAUCCUUUACAGUUAUCGAGGUAACUUCAUGGUUAACUCUGUCACCAUGGUAACGUAUGCUUAGCAACAUAUAACCUGCUCCGCUGCAGGUUAUGUUCAGGAUCAUGUUAAAAAUAAGACAUCAUCCUGUAUGAAACUCAGCUAACUGACCAAUCAGAUCCCUUGAUCACAGAGCUCUGUGAGCUGAUCAUGAGAGGGGAGGGGGGAGAGAGACCGACACACACACACACACACACACACACACACACACACACACACACACACACACACACUGUGUUCCCUGAUAUUAUUGUUCAUUUAAAAUGUAUGAUGGUGAAAUAUAUUAUUCAUGCUUUACAGUUUUCAUCCUACAACAGAGACUAAAUAAAGCACUGAAGCCUGAAGACUUUUUGUACGUAUAGGAUAUCAAACUAAGCGUACGCGAUGCUUUGAAAUACAUUUUCAUAUUCAUAUAAGCCACACACCGCUCCGUAUACUUUCAGGCUGCAGCUGAAAUAUAACCUCUUAAACAUUCAGACAUGCCAUGCACAUGAUAGAUAACUCAUUUAAGGAGAGAAACAGGGGUUAUUAUAUUCACUUUGUGCUCUCAGGGACAUUAGAAGCCUUAAUUUUUCUCAGUUAUCCUACAUUCCUCACAGCUAAUAUGUUAACCGUCUUGUUGGCUUUUUUUUAUAUCAAUUUGCUCUGAGUUUGUCAAAUAUGAGACUGGUCCAUGAUAGUGAAAACCUGGGUGUGUUGAGCACAGUUUGUCAUGUAAGCCCCGCCUCUUCCUCCUGUGCUGCCAGCGAGUGACCUCGCUGUUCAGACUGAGGUCACAUUGGAAAAAUAUCCAAUCUGUCUUCGAUUUGGGUCCACAUAUGAACGUGGCCUGAAUCUGAUUUGAAAAGAUCAGUUUCCAUGUGACUUGUGUUGUUCACACUGUCAUAAAAAUAAAAACAGAUUGGAGUCAUAUAGGAGCAUUCAUUCAUGUGACUUCUGCCACAGAGACAGAGAGUGGCUUUGUUUGCAUUUACCUUUUGUUUUUUCAUUUGCCUUAUUACUUAAUGUGUGUGGGUUCCUACACUUGUGUCUAUAAAGAGUUGACUUGAGCGUGUGCACCAACGUGUUCUGACUUGCUUUUUUAUACCAUAAAAGAGUAAAUCAAAAAGCAUCAACUGUUUUUUUUUUUUUUUUUUAAAUACUAUUGAUUCUUUUUGCGUUGCACCUGUCUGCAGAUGCUUGUGUAAAUGUAUUCAUGCUAAUGAACAUGUACAUGUGUUGUUGUUUGAAGUUCAACCGCCUCCUAAGGGGGGUGCUGUGGUGGAGUUGGUAUCAGUGUAUUCAUCACCCAGAACACACCUGUGCAGCCUUUCCACAUAAACACACCCUCAACACACACACCUGCAGACAGAAGCACUCGCACGCACUGAUGAUACAAACACUUGGGAUUUCAAAAUGUCACAACACCUCCUGCUGGUGCCAAAAAAAAUGUAAAAAGACCAAAUUCAACCAAAAAUACUCAAAUCGAUCGGUUCUCCUACCAAACAGGAAGCCUGAUUCUGAAAGCUUCCACUCAAUAAAUAGCCUGACUCACCAUUGACUCGAGGAUGGUUUCAGGAAGUGCAUUACUUCCAGUUACUCACCUCCUAAAUUCUCAGUUGCCACUCUCCAUUGUAGCUUUACCCUCCUUAAUGCACAUCAUACUCAGUGAUAUAAACCUGUUUGUAAAUUGUAUAGUUGCCAAACUAAUAUGUCACGUUGCCAUGUUGAAAACAUUAAACAAUCAGUUCACACUGUUUUUAACAUUCACACUGCUCUGGAAUCAUGUCCUAGUUAAAAACAGUUUUUGUUUGCUUGUUCCUCCCUAAGAGUGUUCAAGUGUUUGAAUCAGCAUUUCUUAUGUGAAUAAUUUAGUUCAGAGCUACCAUUGCUUGAUACAGAGCAGAACACUGGAUGAGACAUGGCUGUUUUAAUUAUAAAAAAAAGACACUCCUUGCCUUCAUUGUUAGAUUGAAUACAUACUACAUACAGUACAUGUCCCAGGAUGUAUGCUUGAAAGCCUGAAGAGCAGCCAGCAGUACACAUGCGUUGAGCUGGUGAAAAUUCCAUCCACAGUGUUUUAGUUUGCUCCAGUUCACAUAGGGAUGAAAGGAAAAUGCCCACAUUCAUGUUUGCCCUCAGGGUGGCACAGGAAGCAUAAUGUUCCAGCUUUUUCUCCUCGACGUCUUACAUCCCUGUGUCCACCUCAGGCAGCGUACAGAGGGGGGACGUUCUCCUUCUUGCUGCUUUACAGAUUCUUUAGAUGAAAUACUAAAUCAAGUCAUAUCAGAUACAUGUUUUGAUUAAUUAGACCUCAAUGUAUUCAAAAUCAACUUUAAUAUAGCACUGUAUAAGAAGGGAUGUUCAUUUAAAGGACUAUUACUUCCUUUUUUUAUAAACAAAUUUCUAUUUCUACUGAUCUCAUCCGAUACAAGGUUAAGUUACCUUAAAGGUGCAUUAUGGAGCUUUGGUAGUGAAAUUUGAAAGUUGGAGAAGUGAAACAAUUCUGUUAUAUUUUCUGAAAUGAUUACACAAACUUUACUCAAAGGAAAAAAAUUGUUCCCUGGAACACUGUUUGGAGCUAAAAAGUUACCAGGAGAGUUACACUUUCACUGUUGCGGACCCCCCACCAUAGCUUCUCGCGUAGCAUUUUAUCUUCAAACUGUGUUCCAGGGACCAGAUGUUCCUCUGAGGUCAGUUUGUGUGUAGAGUUAUGAACAUAUACCACAUAAUAUGUACACUUCUCCAACUUUCACAUUUUUUCUACCAAAACUCCAUAGUGCACCUUUAAGAAAUGAUGGAGUAUGUUCCCAAACUUUUGGCCUACAAUGUUGUAAAGUAUUGAAGUCAUCUUUAAGCCCAUGAACGUUGUGCCUGCUGUGGCUGUUGUUAAAAAGUUCCUCAUAACUAUUCACUCUUUCAGAAUGAAAUUGUAUUCCCAACAUUGUGUUUACACUUCUUUAGAGAUGCUAGGUGGCUACUUGUACGGCUAGUUAAAAGACGACACUUUGAAUGAGGAAGUGGAUGUUCAGCUAACCGUUGACAAACUGGCUAACCCACACAUUGCCGUCAUUAAAUAGUCAUUAAGACGAUAGAGGCUAAGAGCUAACGUAGCUAGCUGUCUGUCAUUUAGCUAGCUAGUUAGCAUGGUCACAAACAGGGCAAUAAGUAAACGCAGUGUACAUAGAUGUGUUGGUACCACAGGCCUUUGGGUCUAUUGCUGCCUUCAUGUGCUCCUCCGAAAUAUCGUAGUUACUGAAUUACCAGUAACAAGCACAUGGCUCUGCAAAAUCGUCUUUAUGAGUGUGGGAAAUUGGGAAAUUUCAUUGGUACCUGAGUUGCCGAGGUUGUUAUGUUUGCGAGGUGUUUCAGGGAAACAAAAAUGACAACUUGAGAACAGUGUCAACAAUUGAUGACGGAAAAAAAAAAGAAGUAUUUUGUUCAUUUGUUCACAGUUAGCUAUCGGUUAUUUUUAUUAGUUGCACAUUUAAGUAUAUAGUAUAUGCAUCAUGGUGCAGUUCAUUCUUACUUGUGUUCAUGUAGUUUAUUUGAUCACUGAAGCCAAACCCCUAAAGUGAAUAAGACGUAGUCAUAGAGGAAUAUAAUGUGUUGGCUAUCCCUCGCUGUAACCGUUUUGGUCCUCUCUCUCUUUAUGUCUUUCUCUCCGUUGUUUUUGUAUCGCUGGGUUAUUUGGCCACGCUACAGAGAGGGGCUUAUGAAUAAUACAGUUUUAUGUUAGUUUGUUCUUUUUUUGUGGCGGCUGGCUCUGAUGUGAAUGAUGCAAUCAGAGGUUCAUUCAGGUUCCUGGUUAUUCUGGGCGGCAGGUGGUUCCACAAAAGAAAUGUUGGCACCCCGUACCAAUUGGAUGCUUGGUAAAAAAUAAACAAUUUCUGAAAACCAACAAUAGCACAAAGAUUACGAGUUUUUCUUUACUUUGACAUUGAUCCCAAAUGGAGUACCAAAUGUUUUCCAUGUAAGAUAUAAACGAGCUCCUGUUGUGUCUUUUUGCUGUUUUGUAUUUGCCUUUAAAAAGAAAAGAUUUCCUGUAAAUGCUUUUUGUUUAUCUUACUGUGUGCUCAGCUUUCCAUCAACCCUAAUGUUAAAUAAAAGAAGCAUUUCAGCUUCCUCACAACCAGGGACAUCCUGUUCUUCUGCUGUACUGUAGAGGAUUCAGAUAGCUGCUGCAGGGUAAAUAAACCUAAUGAGCUUGUACAGAAAAAGGAGGCAGAAUAUAACUUGUAGACCUUCUCUCAGCCCUCAACUCUCUGUUGCCCACACCAUUUAACCCCUCUCUUAAAGUUACAGACAGGUGUUGUACAGACACCUGCAGCAAAAUCCAAAACAUGUUUUCUUUUUGUGUUUUUUGUCCAUAUGUGUGUGUGUGUGUGUGUGUGUGUGUGUGUGUGUGUGUGUGUGUGUGUGUGUGUGUUGUAUUUUACUGAGCACUGUAAGUAAGAUGCGUCGGCUGUAUCUCCCUCACUGCUGUAAUAAUUUAUUGAAAGUUGUAUUUAUACCUGAGAGAAAUGUCAAUAAAGCACCACGUGAGUAA
Molecule: RNA transcript, 8715 nt
Organism: Labrus mixtus (cuckoo wrasse)
Lineage: Eukaryota; Metazoa; Chordata; Actinopteri; Labriformes; Labridae
Gene name: guanine nucleotide-binding protein G(o) subunit alpha
Exons: 9
Source: RefSeq, a predicted model, not a curated record